Symphalangus syndactylus (siamang) is the source of this 8410-nucleotide long non-coding RNA. RefSeq lists it as uncharacterized. NCBI's taxonomy places the organism in Eukaryota, Metazoa, Chordata, Mammalia, Primates, Hylobatidae. The record is from RefSeq and is a predicted model, not a curated record.
UUGGUGCCACCAGGAAACUGUCCGCUAGGGCUCGGCACUACUAAGGACCUCGCUAACAAUAAUCUGGCGGCGCUGGGACUCAGCAAGAACAGACACCCAGCGGAUUGCCCUGGUGAUACCAAACAUGUCCAUAAAUGGUGCUGCUAGAAAGAAACUGCGGGCUCUUAGAUAGGAGUCCUGUCUGGAGAAAUGAGCUGACUGUGUUUAAGUGUGUUGUGACAGAAAAAUGUGUUGUGGCAUCUUACUGUGUUUUAAGUCCUUUAAUAUGUUUUAACCCGUUGUAAUGUGUUGUGAGAGAAAAAGCCCCGGCUAACGGUACUAUGGAAUUACUAGAGAGCACAGCGGCUGGGUGCAGUCACCGGUCUGCACCGUAAAAAGGGGUUCAGGAAGUUCCUACGAGACAUUAGCGUUGCUAGGACCCAGAAAGAGACAGCACAGAGAAUUUACGGGCCCCGAGAACGUGAAACGACCUGUUGGGCGCUAAGAACGGUGCACCAACUGAGAAAACGCCCAGUGGGCGCUACUGGCAAAAGUGCUGACCCAAAACCGACAGCUCCGCAUAAGAAGCGGAGUCGCCAGACAGAACCCGGAAACUGGCAGCAGCAAGGCUGAGACCGCGAUCGGCUCCCCGCGUCCUGAGCAUGCAAGUCAAGGAGCACGAAGCUGAGACAUUUAAAAUCAGUAGAAAAAAAUACAUAACAUUUAAAUAGAAAUACAAUUUAAAAAUAAUAGAAGCCUAAAAUGCAAAUAGAAAUGAAAGGCAAGCACAUCGGUAAUGUCGUUCUCAGAGCAAGACACAAAAAGACAAUUAAAAAAUAAGCAAAAAUUACUGAGAACCAUUCCUACAAAGAAGAAACUACAAAUGUUUGUAAUGCAGUCCUACGACUAGGAUAUCCCUAUCCGAUCUAAACCGGUACAUGUUACACCUAAGUCUAAAUAUCCUACCAAAUUAAAUAAAUAAAUAAAUAACAGUCAUGGUUAAACCUGUUUAGCUUAGACUAUAAAAUGGUAGAAAAAAAAGUCGCUUUCGGCGGGACUUGCCGUUGUCAAACGAGGCUUGGCAAAACUGAAAAAUCGCGUUUGCCCGCAUUUCCUGAUUUCCAGGGGAGUUUAAAAAACACAAGCCUAGCUAAGGCGGGACCCGCUAUUGUGAAACCAAACUUAGUAUAAGAGCUCCCAGGCCCUGCUAAACUGGUCAUCGCCAAGCCAAAAAAAAAAAUCGCAUUCGCUGGUACCCAGAUUACAGGAGUUAAACGUCUCCUGCGCAGCUAAAGCAGAGCUUACUAGUAGGAAACCAGAACUUGCAAUGACUAAGAAACUUGAGGCAGAGCUAACCCGGGGUUGUUAGGAUUAGAGUUCCGAGGCUACAGGAAAACCGGAAUUGCUGAGAUCUGAGUCACAGGGUGACUCAGCCUCGUUACGAUGAAACAGUAACUUCCUACUACCUAGAAAUCGCAGCCAGGGCCAGACCGGUGUUUGUCCUAAGUCGGAACUUGCUUGGGCUAAGAAAUCAUAUUGUGACUAUUCCACGACUUGAACAAGGGGUAGAAAUCGCAGGCACCACGAAAUAGAAACUUGCUAGGACCAAGAAGCCAACGACGCCCGAAACCGUGGGGUCCUGUCACAGAAACCCCAGCAGCGCAGCCACCGGACUGGGUCUGGAGGCCGAGCCGGAGUCCGUGCGGCGGCGCUGGGAAGAGAUGGCGCCCCGGCAGCUCCCCUGCCACCGGCCCCGAGGAGCGGCUGGCUCCCCCAGCCCAGCGCCGCCGCCGCCCGGUAACUCCAGGCUCCGCGCAACUGGGGCAGCUGCGACUCCGAAUCCCUCACAUCUGCAACCUGGGCGCUGCGGCCACUGAGAAAAUGGAGGCGCAGACCGACGAGCUGUGCCGCGACCAAGACACCUCGGCUGGCGAAGUGGCGGUGCCGGGAGCCUGCGAGUGACGCCAGCCUCCGGGGUUGUCAAGGUCAACAUUCGUUUUGGCGCAGCCAAUGGCGCCGUCACCAGGAAACCAUCGACUCUGAGAAAAAACAGAGGUUCGGCCACGGAGAAACUCCGUACGACAAGGGCUGUGACAGAAAAACCGCCGACUCCGUGCCACUGGCAAAACAGCCAAUGGAAACCCCGGGCGUUGCGACCGUGACACCGGCACUAGAGGGUCUUGGAUGGAGAAAGCGGCGCACGGACACCAGGAAACUAUGUGUAGCACAACUAGCAGAAAACCGUCUGGUCGGCCAUCCGGGAGAAAGUGCGGAUCAGAAACAGGCGACUUCGUGCUGAGAAUUGCUUCAACCCAGGAGGCGGAGGUUGCAGUGAGCCAAGAUGGCACCACUGCACUCCAGGCUGGGCAACAGAGCAAGACUCCAUCUCAAACAAAACAAAACGACAUGAGAGAAAAACGUCAAUCUGUACACCUCUUUAUGACAGAACAACACAGAAAGAGAAAGACAAAGAAAAGACUACUCUAGGAGGAAAUGGAUGAAACAAUAUGAUUCUUACCACAAAGUACCAGAAAGUACACCAGAGUCAAUACACCAGCACCGGUCACACAAAUCCUUUUCUCCCAUCAGUCAAGAUUUUGGACAGGAAAAAUGAACAAAGAGUGAUAUUUACUGUCUACUUGACCAAAUUCCACAGAGAGGGGCUUGGAAUCUGACUGGCAUCCUCAUUAUCUUUGCAAUACAGAUUGAAUUAUUGGGGAUUCAGACAGCAGAGGAAAAAAGUUAAAGCAUGUAAGGAACAGAAACACACUCAGACAUGAAAAACUGUCCUGGUUUAAAAGGGUUCCUUUCCUUACAGGUGAGUAACAAUUGUCACUUCCUGACGGGACCAGGAACAUCAGGAUAUUUGGAGAAUCUUAACAAAAGAAGAAUUCAUCCAAAUCUCUAGGUAUUGCAGGUGAAGUAUGAUAGCAAGAUCCUGGUUUGGUUUCCUAGCAUCUGGACGCUUUUAAAAGUCUUUUGAGAUUCCUUAUGAAAAUGUCCAGGUAAGUCAACUUAAAGAGAGCCUACACUGCAGCAUAAGUUCCUAGUUAUCAUUGCUGAAGUAAAGUUAUCAUUGCUGAGAGUACCAUAUCAUCCUCUGGAGAAACUGAACUUCUAUAGAGUUAGUUCUACUUAUAGUGCAAAACAGUGCUUCAAGUUAGAGUCAGCAUAUUUACUGAUUCUAUGCAGUGACCAGUGCUAUGUUUCUCCAGAUUUGUCAAAUUAUACCUUUUCCUUUAAUCGGUGUGGGCUCAUAGUUGUCACAAUUUGUGUACUAGGGGUGAGAGAAACUGUAGUUCUUCUCUCUAAAGAGCUCGAAUUUUGUCUGACCUAGUUUUAUUUUUCUUUCUUUCCUUUUUUUGUUUUUUCGGUGUUUCUUUGUUACCCAGGCUGGAGUGCAAUGGCGCGAUCUCGGCUCACUGCAACAUCCACCUCCCCAGUUCAAGAGAGUCUCCCGCCUCAGCCUCCCAAGUAGCUGAGAUUACAGGCAUGCACCACCACGCCUGGCUAAUUUUGUAUUUUUUAGUAGACACAGGGUUUCUCCAUGUUGGUCAGGCUGGUCUCAAACUCCUGACCUCAGGUGAUCCACCUGCCUCAGCCUCCCAAAGUGCAGGGAUUACAGGUGUUAACCAUGGUGCCCGGCCCUGUCUAACCUACUUUUCAAAACCAAAAAGAUGAGCAAUAAGAGGGCAGUUAAUUAGCAAGAACUCCUUCCCUAAGAUCUCAUUCUAAGGUUGGGAGAUAGGACAACAGACAGGAAGAAAGAUGUCAGAAAAAUACAUUUAAGAGAAAAAUGUUCUUUUGGCAGGCCUAAGAGAUUUCCUAUUAGAGUGUGUUAAGGGUCUCUCCUAGCAUCUUCAGAUUGUUCUGUCAUCACCACCAGUGUUUUCUGAAAGCUUCCUCCCUUUCCCACCCCCUCCCUCCCACUCCAGAAAAACCACACAUAAGGUUAAGCCUCCUAUCCAGUGUCUCCUGGAAGUCUGAGGAAGUCACAGGUGCCUCUGUGGUCUGGGGAUCCCAGUCUUGGAAUGAGAGUGAGUUCUGGGACAAAGGUGAAAUCAGACAUGGUAAAUCAGAUACUUAGCCUGUUGUAGGCUGGUGGUUUAAAUGUUAGGAUUCUGGCAUGAUCUUGCUGUGGUUCAAAUUUCUCUCCUCUUUGACUUUGAGAAGUUAGUUUAAUCCUUGUGUUUCAUUUCCAUUGUUAGUAAAACCAGAUAUAAUUGCAGUACUCAUUAUAUCAGUGAGGUUAAUGGGUAUCCUUCCUUAAGCAUAGUCUAGCACCAUUUAAAAUAAUAAACAUUAACUAGGAUUUUAUUCUAAUUACUCCUUUCCAGCAAUUCUAGGGGCUAUGUUUUCCCCAGUAUUAGUUCUAUAGUGCGUGAAAGCUCAGACUUUCUUCUCUGGAAGCUACUUUCUAAACCCCUUUCACCCUACCUCUUUAUUAACUAAGAUAUCCACCUUACCCUUUCCAUCUUUUCCUGUCACCAACAUUCUCUGUGGCUGUAUCAUGUCCGGAAAAUAAUCAUCAGGCAUUUCACAGUAAAUUGUAAGAGCAUUGCUAGUGUUCACAUGUUUAAUCACGGGAUGAUACUUCUGCUAUCUCAUCCUCAAUUCUGAUACCUCCAGUUCGUGUUUGCUUAUGAAACAGGGACCACUUGAGGGACAGAUAAGUUUGUUACAUGUUGUAGGCACUGAUGUGCUUUUAUUUAAAUACAUUGAUUUUCUGGUUUUAUCGUUUUUCUCAUAGUUGUCACCAACUUGUGGGCUCAUAAUUGUUACCAACUUGUGAAGUAGGGGUGAGAGAAACUGUGGUACUUCUCUCUAAAUAGCUUGAAUUUUGUCUGACCUAGUUUUCAAAAGCAAAAAAAAUGAGCAAUAACAGUGCAGUUAAUUAGUAAGACCUCCUUACCUAAGAUCUCAUUCUAAGGUCUGGGAGAUAGGACAACAGACAGGAAGAGGGGUGUCAGAAAAAUACAUUUACGAGAGAAACGUUCGGCCAGGCACCAUGGCUCAUGUCUGUAAUCCCAGCACUUUGGGAGGCCAAGGCGGGUGGAUCACGAGGUCAAGAGAUCAAGAGCAUCUAAAAAUACAAAAUUAGCUUGGUGUGGUGGUGCGCACCUGUAAUCCCAGCUACUCUGGAGGCUAAGGCAGGAGAAUCACUUGAACCAGGGAGGCGGAGGUUGCAGUGAGCCAAGAUGGUGCCACUGCACUCCAGCCUGGUGACAGAGCAAGACUCCGUCUUAAGAAAGAGAGAGAGAGAGAGAAAUGUUCUUUUGGCAGGCCUAAGACCCUAAGGGAAUACAUGUUAAAAAAAAAAAUGGUGGGGGAUAAAGAGAAAAAUCAUUAAAGAUGAAAAAUUGCCAGAAAUUCCCUUGUGUACUUUUCCCCUUGCCUCUUACUUUCUGGUUUCUGAAACAAUAACUGAUCAAUGGGGUGUGCUGAGGGAGUAGAGAAAGAAUGAAUAGCCCUGAAUGCACUGAUAAUAGACUGCUUGCCAAUAACCACUGAUAGAGUUUGAAUACAAUUCUACAAUGGGAAAAAUAUUUUUAAACAUAUGUCUGAUGAAGGAUUGCUAUCCAGAAUAAAUUAACACUUUCUAAAACUCAUCAUCAAAAAACAAACAACCCAUUUCAAAAACAGGCAGAGGACUUGAAUAGACAUUUCUCCAAAAAAGACAUACAAAUGGCCAAUAGCACAUGAAAGAAAAAUGUCCAGCAUCCCUAAUUCUUAGGGAAAUGCAAAUCAAAACUACAAUGAGAUACAGGUACCACUGCACAUCCGCUAGGAUGGCUACUAUUAAAAAAACAAAAGAUAACAAGAGUUGGCAAGGAUACAAGGAGUUUGGAACCCCUAUGUAUGCACUGUUGUAGGCAUGUAAAUUGGUACAGCCAAUGUAGAAAACAGAACCUUCCUCAACAAAUUAAAAAUAGAAUUACCAUAUGACCCAGCAAUUUCACUUCUGGACAUAUACUCAAAAUAAUUUAAGGCAGAGUCUCAGGAAGAUAUUUGUACACCCAGGUUCAUAGCAGCAUUAUGCAUAAUAGCAAAGAUGAAGAAGCAACUCAAGUGUCCAUUCACAUAUGAAAGGAUAAGCAAGACAUGGUACAUAUAGACAGUCAGCCUUUAAAAAGAGGGAAAUGCUAACAGGCUACAUCACAGAUGAACCUAAGGGACAUUAUGCUAAACGAAAUAAGCCAGUCACAAAAAGACAAAUACUGUAUGAUUCCACUUACAUGGGGUACUUAGGGUAGUCAACAUCAUAGACACAAUGUAGAAUGGUGGUUGCCAGGGAUGGGGGAGAGGAAAGUGGGGAGUUAUUCUUUAAAGGAUACAGAGUUUCACUUUUAGAAGACACAAAGAGUUGUGGAGAUGGAUGAUGACAAUUGUUGCAAAGCAUUAUGAACUGUAGGCUUAAUGGUUAAGAUGGUAAAUUUUAUGUGUAUUUUACAGAGAGAGAGAGAGAACUGGGCACUCGCUCUUGCAUUCUCUUCACUAACAUCCCAAAUGUUCAUUUAUAGAUAGUCGCCCAAAGCGUUUUUCUCCUGGCAGAACAGAAUUCCAGUCUCUGCUCAGGAGUAGCAAUCUGAUUUGGGGAAAUGAUAAACUUUGUAUAAACCAGAGUCCCCCACAACAGCUUUCUCUUCAUAGGCCCAGUACUAAUUUUUUUUUUCAUCCCCUGAGACAAACUAUUUGACUCUGGAUAGUUUUCACAUGAGAUGAUAGAAUUUGAUGUUAAUGUCAUUAAUUCCAUUUUCAUAUGCAAUUUGCUUCUAGGAUUAAUGUCACCAGCCAGGUUCCUAACCUAUGUGGAACACGCAGGGCCAGAAGAGUAUAAAAUUGCAAAAGCUGGUGGCUCCUGAGUCCAAGAGUUCCUGGUUUUCCUGGACACAAGCGAUAGCGCAGCACUUUCUUCCCCAUGUGCCAGAGGCCUGUGGUUCUGCAGAAGAGGACCGGAAACCCCAGACACUGCAAGCCCUGAGCUCAGUAUAUUCUGGGGCCUGUCCUCUCACUUUCUAUUUCUUGUGUGGCCCUCAUACUCGUGCCAGCUAUCCUGGAACAGCCAAGAAUUCAAUUGUGACCUGCUUCCUCCCUCAACCUCUUCUCCCCAACCUCCCCAUCACACUUAUUCUUUGGGAAGAUUUGUAAAAAUUAAGGUUAUUAUAUCCAUGUAACUUUCUGUAUUUCUUUUAAACUCCUUGUGCUACUAAGUCACACGGCUUUGACUCCUGGAUCUAAAAAAGUCACCAACUCUGGCUAAAUCUUAAACAUUGACAGCAAUUGAAGCCUCAUCUUCAGACCUAGGAGAAGAUGAAAAUCAGAGUAAGCUGCAGUCAUGAGACAUGGGUCCAGAAAUUAAAACUCUUCAACCCCUCUAGUCCCAGGGACUAUUGCAGAAGAAGUGGGUGUGUGAGCUUGUAAGGAUCCAUUUCAAGAGAUAAAAUUAGUUCAGAGUUUCUCUAUAAAUUAAACAGUUGCAUUUGUUGUUGUUUUGAGACAGUCCAGUUAUGUCAUCCGAGCUGGAGUGCAGUGUCAUUAUCCUGGCUCACUGCAACCUCUGCCUGGCAAGACUCCUGGCACCUCAGCCUCCCAAGUAGCAGGGACUACGGGGGUGCACCACCAUGCCUGACUAAUUUUUGUAUUUUUAUAGAGACAAGGUUUCACCAUGUUGCCCAAGCUUGUCUCCAACUCCUGAGCUCAAGAUAGCCGCCUGCCUAGGCCUUCCAAAGUGCUGAGUUUACAGGCAUGAGCCACCGUGGCCAGCCUAUAAAUUAAACAUUAAUGUCAAAGGAACACUGAUGCAAGACAAGCAUGUGGGUCCCUGUGUCAGAUUAACAAUGUUUUCUUGGAGCAUUAACACAUUCUUUACUUAAAAAUUAUGAAAGGUUAUGAGAAGGUUUACAAAAAUUAUAUCUUAUUCUCAAGAUGAUGAAAAUUUAAUAGAUUUGUCUGUAAAAUUUAAUUGACUUCAUCCUGUCUUUAUUAGGUUUUAUUGUUUGGGAAAGUAAGUCUCAAAGAGUAAAGUUUUUGACUUUUUGUUUUUAAAAUAUUUGAGUUACCACUUUGACUAAAUGAGUGACUUAUUUUACAAUGACCUGUGAUGCUAUUUUGUGAUAUUGUGUUUUCAACCUUUGAUGUUUGACAAACUUUCCAAACUCUAAAUCUAAAUUCAGUGUUUUGGUCUCAUUAAUUUUUUUGACAUUACAUCCCCUGAAAUCCAAAGAGACAUAUUUGGCUUAUUGCUAUAAUAAAAUCAUCAUUAUCAAAUAUGAAAUGAUGUGUAACCUUCUUUGGCUUGUAUUUGUGUAAAUGUGUUAUUAGUAUGUGUUCCAAAAUUGUAUGAAAUUCUUGUGAUUCUGAUAUGUCUUAGACUAUGUUAUCAGAACUAAUUAUGAUUAUUAUAUUAAACUGUUAUGUGCCAUAGAUAUAA